AUUUCUGCUUGGAGAUUGCCUUCUGUGGGGUGUUUGGUGAGUUCUAAUCUUCAGAAAGGGGUUGUACUUCAGGUACCUGGGGCUCUAGACAGCCUGACCUAGUGGAGUCUGUCUCUUGCCCGUGGCACGGGUGUUGGAACUGGAUGAUCUUUAACAUCUUUUCAGAUCAAAAAAUGUUAUGAUUCCCAGAACUUAGGCAAUAGUCAUUGGAGCAGUAAAUCACUCUUAUCACAGUUACCAGAAGUCUCAGUUACCCAUACAGGAGGAAAGUUUAGAUUCAUUUACAGUGAAUCCCUCAAACAGGAGUGAGUCCUAAUCAACCAUAAAAACUGGAGGCUGGAUUUCUUGCUGUGAAAAGGUGCCAAGCCAUUUUCUUUGAAAAUUUUGAUUGGUAAAAAUCCAAAACGUUGUAUUAAAAGAGUAAGGUGUCCUUCUUUAAAGUCUUUAAAUACAGCUGUCUGUCAUGAAGUGUACUUGCUGCUAAAAUCUGAAUCACUUUGAGCCUACACAGACACCCAAGAUGAUCUUUAUCUGAAAUAGUCUCUGCAGAGUCACUAUCUGUAGAUCACUGUUUCUGAUUUUUUUACACAGGCUUUAAAGCAAGUAUUGAAAGGAGGUGCACUUUUUUCCUACAGCUGGUCAUAGACUGUUUCAUUUGGAAGGAUUUUACAAAGUAUUCUACUAUUAGUUGGUCACUUAGUACCUGAAGGAUAUCUUAGGCUUGAGUUGAUGGACCUCAGUCUUUCCCAUCUAAUAAACAGCGUUAAUAUCCCCAAAAUGUUUGCAGAUAUGAAAAGAUCUUGGUAGUGGAAAGACUGCUGGAGAGCAAGCAGAGCAAAUACUAACUUAAAAUGAGGUUUUCUUGAAUCAAGAUUUAACCUUACCAGGUAUAGAAGUGAAACUUAAAGUUUCAUUCUAAUUUUGCUUCUGGCAUCACAGUUUUGGAAUGCAACCUCAACAAAGAGAAUUGGAUAAAAUACCUCUUUGAGAUUUUUCAAGAAUUCCUAAAAUCCUUGUAUUUCUAAUUAUUAGUUCAUUCACAAUCUCAUUAAUCUGGUUACCAAGAGACUGUUUUUUGUUCUCUCAUCCCAAGAAACAAUUUCUUGCAAUUUUCUGCAUUUAUUUAUUUUUUAAAAUAUUACUAUUCCAACACGUUAAUCAGAAUCACGGAGUCAUCUAAGUUGGAAAACACCUGGAAGAUCAUCUAGUAGUUCCUUACAUCCUUUCUUAUAUGUCCAAGCAAUCAAUUUCGGUAAAGGAUUUCUGCAAAAUGUUUAUGUAAGAAAUCUGUGAAGUGUUUACUGUCAGCUUCUGAAAUUGUAUUUCUGCCUUCAGGCUUCAGUUAGCAGUAGAAAUCAUUAAAGAAGUUUUACAGAAUAAAAAGCAAAAGCCUUUGUUAAUGCAAAUUUGAAAUAAGAUUCUGGUCAUUGAAAACCCGCAAGUUAAUGCAGAGAUUCAAACUCACUGAUGGCACUGAAUUAUGAUACUCGAUGUAAAACCUUAAUACUGAACUGCUGUACCCUGACUAUUUGUAUUAAACUAUUAGAAAUUAAUC
Molecule: long non-coding RNA, 1555 nt
Organism: Gallus gallus (chicken)
Lineage: Eukaryota; Metazoa; Chordata; Aves; Galliformes; Phasianidae
Source: Ensembl